GACGAACGCUGGCGGCGUGCCUAAUACAUGCAAGUAGAACGCACAGUUUAUACCGUAGCUUGCUACACCAUAGACUGUGAGUUGCGAACGGGUGAGUAACGCGUAGGUAACCUGCCUGGUAGCGGGGGAUAACUAUUGGAAACGAUAGCUAAUACCGCAUAAUAUUGAUUAUUGCAUGAUAAUUAAUUGAAAGGUGCAAUUGCACCACUACCAGAUGGACCUGCGUUGUAUUAGCUAGUAGGUGAGGUAACGGCUCACCUAGGCGACGAUACAUAGCCGACCUGAGAGGGUGAUCGGCCACACUGGGACUGAGACACGGCCCAGACGCCUACGGGAGGCAGCAGGAGGGAAUCUUCGGCAAUGGACGAAAGUCUGACCGAGCAACGCCGCGUGAGUGAAGAAGGUUUUCGGAUCGUAAAGCUCUGUUGUAAGAGAAGAACGGGUGUGAGAGUGGAAAGUUCACACUGUGACGGUAUCUUACCAGAAAGGGACGGCUAACUACGUG
Molecule: ribosomal RNA, 505 nt
Filed under: uncultured bacterium
Lineage: Bacteria
Description: partial 16S ribosomal RNA
Rfam family: Bacterial small subunit ribosomal RNA
Source: RNAcentral